RNA transcript from Populus trichocarpa (black cottonwood), 3377 nucleotides. It is a transcript of the gene named bystin, with no coding region annotated. The transcript has 13 exons. Lineage: Eukaryota; Viridiplantae; Streptophyta; Magnoliopsida; Malpighiales; Salicaceae. The record is from RefSeq and is a predicted model, not a curated record.
CACUAGGGUUUAUCACCAGGGCUUCUUCUCCUUGUUUGAGAAGCAAAGCAAGCAGCAUUUUUCAGUCUUCUCAUCUCUAAAUUUCUACAACCAGCUCACUCCAUCUUCCAUCAAUGGGGAAGAAAAGAGAGAGGCACCAAAAUCCAGAACCUUUCCUCCCAGAGGAUACAGACUCUAUUGCCUCCUCCACUAAAACACGAUCCAAAGCAUCAAAACACCACCAGAAACAGCAAAAAAUGAUAUCCUCGGGGAUGAGCUCGAAAAUCUUGAAGCAAGCGUUGAUUCAGCAGAAGGAGAUUCAAGCCGAGGAGAGAAACCCUAAUUUUAAUGCUCUGGAGGAAGAAUUGCCUGAGCCUGAAGGAGAGGAAUGUGCCGAGGAUCAAAUUGAUGAUUUUAGUGGCUUCUCCGAGACUCAAAGCCAGUUUAACGAUUAUCCUGAGGAGAUUGAUGAGAAUGAUGAGAAAUUGCUGGAGGCAUUCUUGUCAAAGGAUGCUGGUCCACAGCGAACACUUGCCGACCUUAUUAUUGAGAAAUUAAAAAAGACUGAUGCAAAUGUUUCCUCAGAGUUACAGCCUAUACCUAAGUUGGACCAGUCUCUGAUAGAUUUGUACAAGGGAGUUGGCGAGUAUCUUAGUAAAUACACAGCUGGAAAGAUACCUAAGGCAUUUAAGCACAUCCCUUCUAUGCAACUUUGGGAGGAUAUCUUGUACCUGACUGAACCUCAGAAAUGGUCACCAAAUGCAAUGUAUCAAGCCACUAGAAUCUUCUCUUCUAAUUUGGGUGCAAAGAAGGCAGAGCGUUUCUAUAGGCUUGUCUUACUUCCUAGGGUUAGAGAUGAUAUUAGGACGAAUAAGAGGCUGCAUUUCAGUCUGUAUCAAGCUUUGAAAAAGUCUCUGUAUAAACCUGCUGCAUUCAACAAGGGAAUAUUGCUUCCGUUGUGUAAGUCAGGGACGUGCACUCUUAGGGAAGCUGUUGUUGUUGGAAGUAUCAUUCAAAAGGUCUCCAUUCCUAUGCUUCAUUCAUGUGUUGCAGUGUUGAAGCUUGCGGAGAUGGAAUAUUGUGGCACAACAAGUUAUUUUAUCAAACUUCUAUUGGACAAGAAAUAUGCCUUGCCAUUUCGCGUACUUGACGCAGUUGUUGCUCAUUUCAUGAGAUUUCUCGAGGAUACAAGAAUAAUGCCUGUAAUUUGGCACCAAUCGCUUCUUUCAUUUGUGCAAAGAUACAAGAAUGAACUGCAGAAGGAAGAUAAAGAUAAUCUUAGAAGACUAGUUCUAAGGCAAAAGCAUAAACUAGUAUCUCCAGAAAUAAUCAGAGAGCUAGACAACAGCCGCAAUCGUGGGGAGAAGGAUGAUCCCAUGUCAAUAACAUCUCCUGUUUCUGUGAUCAAUAAAACAAUUGAGGAAGACAGGUUUGAUAUUCCAGAAGUACCUAUGGAGGAGGACUGAAUGCUUAGCCUUGGUUACUGACUGGGAGCUUUGAUGAGAUUCAGGCUUGCAUGUUUUUUGGGUGAAUUCAUAUUAUAUAUUAAAUGCAGUGCACAUCACAGAAUCGUGUCGGCGCCGGCAUGGCCACCAUGGAUGGCCCCUUGCUUAUUUAUUAUGCGAGCGACUGGACUGUAUUCAAGGUCAACUUUUCAAUCAUACAUAUUGCCGAUCAGCCAAUACACAAACAUGACUUCGAUUCUCUUUGGCUGCAAAUCGCAAUGUAUAGCCUAAUCUGACCAAGAAAUAGCAUUUUAUGGCUGGCAUUAGAUACUCGGGUAACGUAUUCGUCUGCCAGAUAUGCCAUGUUACUAUAAUUGUUAGAUGUCUUGGUCUGCGUUAAAGAGCGCUGAGAUGUCACAUACCUGCCAUCUUCAGGCAGCAUAUCUGAUUUGCUAUCCUUAUCCGCUGCUUAUUUAAAUCAUAGUUUGGUACAUGUUUAUACUAUAGAUUAAGCCCGUGUGACAACCUAACAUACCUAUUUAAGGUACUCGAAUCGCCACGUUGAAGCUCUAUGAUAAAAGCUUAGCAUCAUCAUACAGCACGAAGUCACCGAUAUUUUUAAAGAAAGUUCUUGGUUGGAUUUGCAUAUUGUUGCUUUCAUGUGGGCAAGGCAUGCCAUGAAGUCACCGAUAUGUAAGGUGCAUGAGGAAGAUGACAUGGACAUGGGAGGUGACUGAAUAGCCGGAUGCCACGUUAAUGUUUUCGCAGGAAAAAAAAAAAAAAACACAAACCGAAAAGUUCUCUCACAAUAUAUACGCAAAAAUAUUCAUGUCAGUAUGUCACCAUUGAUGCAAAGGGACCAGCUGUUAGCCUCUUGACACGUAAGGUUUCGGUCAUCUUUUCUCUUGUUUUCUCCUGUGGAUUUCUGAAGAAUUUGGAGCUUUCAAAAAUCUUCGGCGGAAAGCAGCUCAUUAUUGGCUUGUGGUCCAGUUGAUCAUCCAGCUCCAAUCGGCAUGCAGGAUCUCUUCCUUUGUGUUGAGGACUAUGAGUCUUCGGUGACCUUGUGGUCCUAUGUGGAAUAAGUAAUUGUGGCCUUGUGGCCUGUGGGUGUAAGAAGUGGAGCUUUGAUAUCUAUGUCUGUCAGCAUCCAUGUAAAGCUAUUUGUCCACUCCCUAUUACCCACUCAACACUUCACCUGAUUAAUACGUUUUUUUAGGGCCCUUGACCAUUAAUUUCUCAUUGAUCUGUUGUUAUCAGCCUGGGUUUUAAACAAUUCAAGAUUCCUGAUCGUCUGCUGUUUCCAAGUGAACAUUAUAACUGAGGUAACGUGGUUUAUCUAUCUAUGGCUGUCAGCAGCUACAGUUUGAAACAAAUUUGCUCUUGAUCUUCGCUGGCUCGUGCUUUGAAGGUCAAGCAGUUUUUUAAGCCCAUGCUAAUCAAAUCCAGCUACGUACUCACUUUUGACAGCUGAAACCCAGCGUGAGACCUUUCUUCAUUUGUGGCUGGAAUUUCUCUUCGUGAGUUUUGUCGUCGUUGCUUUAUGGGUAAGAAAAUUGACGCCUGUUAUACAAUUCGUCCUAGGCUGGCAUUUGCAUAUUUCUUUCUUCAUCUCUGGCAAAAUUGUCUCGAACCACACGUAUUUUGCUUAUAGUUACCUAUAUAUUUAGGUACACAUUUGUUUAUUAAUUUUCCACAUGAGCUUCCAAUUCUAAGGUAUUUCUUUGACAUGGCAGCUUCAAUUAUGUGGCUGCAAUAAAUCCCACGAAUGCAAGGGCUUUAUAGGCUUUAAAGUUCACAAACAUUUUCAAUUCCAACCAUGACCUAACCCUUUCUUUUUUUUGUACAGGACAUGUUAUUUUGAUUGACGUUUUGUUCUGCUCAAGGGAUUUUUUUAUAAAAAAAAAUAUCAUAAGAAAUUAAAUUUUUUGCAAUAUAAUACUAUUAAUUUUUUUU